This is a long non-coding RNA of Felis catus (domestic cat), 696 nucleotides long. RefSeq lists it as uncharacterized. Lineage: Eukaryota; Metazoa; Chordata; Mammalia; Carnivora; Felidae. The transcript is spliced from 5 exons. The record is from RefSeq and is a predicted model, not a curated record.
AAGUCAUGGGAGCAUGGGGUGGUGAGGAGAUAGAGGCUUUGGGGCUGGGUAGAGUUGAAGUCCCUUCACAACGUUCGUGUUGCACGUUAUGGGAUCUCCACUGAAGCUUUUGCUUAGAAAAGGAAUCCUUCUCAACCAAGAGAUGAGUUGGAAAUCAAGAAAUUCCUUGGAAACACUACUUGCCUCGAGCUUUUUGUGACCGAAGUCAGUGCAUGAGGCUCAAAGUUGUGCUAAGAGUUGGAAAGAAAGAAAAGAAAGAACAAGAUCAUGAUCGUGAUUCUUGCUUCCACGGAGCUUAGAAGCUUCUCCAGGGAAAACACAAAGAAAGCAACACAGAACAAUGUAAAAUCUACAGAAACAAAAAGUAGGUUACAGUCUCACGUGUUUUGGAGCUCCACGAGCCGUAAAAUGAUCUGCCCAAAGGGAAGAAGAUGGUAUAGCUAUUGUUGAAAAAUUACCGAGUAAUGAUCUCCUGGGAAGAUCUCCUUAUGUUUCAUUAGAAUUGUAAUUAGAAGUGGCCGUGACCUUGGAAAACCUGCUUCAGGAGCAAGCUCUCCUCUCUUUUGUUUAAGAAAAACCUCUAAGUUUCCCCUACUCAUGGGCCCGAGGCAAUGUUAACCCAACUCCAUAGAAAGAACAUAAUAAAGCAUUCAAAAUGCACUUCUCUGCCGCAAUAAACUGAAAUACGCAAAUACA